Molecule: ribosomal RNA, 484 nt
Filed under: uncultured bacterium
Lineage: Bacteria
Description: partial 16S ribosomal RNA
Rfam family: Bacterial small subunit ribosomal RNA
Source: RNAcentral
AUUGAACGCUGGCGGCAGGCCUAACACAUGCAAGUCGAGCGGAUGAAGUGAGCUUGCUCCUGGAUUCAGCGGCGGACGGGUGAGUAAUGCCUAGGAAUCUGCCUGGUAGUGGGGGAUAACGUCCGGAAACGGGCGCUAAUACCGCAUACGUCCUGAGGGAGAAAGUGGGGGAUCUUCGGACCUCACGCUAUCAGAUGAGCCUAGGUCGGAUUAGCUAGUUGGUGGGGUAAAGGCCUACCAAGGCGACGAUCCGUAACUGGUCUGAGAGGAUGAUCAGGCACACUGGAACUGAGACACGGUCCAGACUCCUACGGGAGGCAGCAGUGGGGAAUAUUGGACAAUGGGCGAAAGCCUGAUCCAGCCAUGCCGCGUGUGUGAAGAAGGUCUUCGGAUUGUAAAGCACUUUAAGUUGGGAGGAAGGGCAGUAAGUUAAUACCUUGCUGUUUUGACGUUACCAACAGAAUAAGCACCGGCUAACUUCGUG